AGGCCUCUUCCCCUCCCUGCAGCCUGUCCGCCACGUUGUUCGCCGGGACCGUGUGCCUGCUGUUUGCUCCUUCCAACCACAGGAUGGUGAGCGAUUUCUUCUAAAGUACCGAGCCUCAGUUCCAUUUUACUACAGCGAUACGGGGCAUCCCUUGGCCCUUGGCCAGCAGCCUCUCCAUCCUCAGACCCCACCGUCUCUGAAGGCGCUGGGCACACCCGCCCUGUCCAUUGAUGAGGGUCCUGGCCGUGUACCAAGCCACCUGGCCAGUCUAGGCAGCCUCUGCCAGGGUCUUGCUGACGAGCACCCUUCCCUUUGCCUCCCUCACGGGCGGGGGACGCAGCUGUGGUUACUUCGGGGACCAUGGACCUGCCUACAGCAUUGACACAGCUGCGAACCCUUGAGGCUAGGCGAGCACAGGCUGUGCUGUUGAGAUUGGAGGGCCCAGGAGGCCCUCAAAACGCCCUGCUGGGGCGGCAGUCCUGCCUUCCAAUUGUUCGGCAGCGCCCACUCUUUCACCGUACCGUCCUCGCCUCUGCCUGUUGAAGGACUUUGUGGGAGCUUUCUUUUCAUCAGCGAAAUGAAAGGGGGACUGGAUUCUCUUGAAGUAAACAGACAAGAUUGGCAGGAAAUUAAGAAAGAGGGAGUCUGAAAGUGUGCUUCUAAGAAAGCGGCAGCAAGGGAAGCCUGAAGAAAGGCGGAGGACUGAGACCUGUGUGUUCUGGACAGGAGGUCGUCGGAACGCUGCCCUGAAGCUCCCACCCUGUGCUCGACAUUCGUUUUGUAGGAGAGGAUAUUGUACUGAGCUCAGGUCACAGUGGAAGGUGCCCCAAGGUUUCGCAUUCCUUUCCUGUGUGUGCAGAGCAGAGUUCAGACUGGGCCACCGCUGAGAAACGACUUAAAAAUUUCAUUGCUCUGCGUCACGAGUUUCCACGGCAAUGCAAAUGCAACAGAAUCCGAGCAAGAGGAAGUCCCGCGGGUCAUCAGGAUCGCCAGGAGAGUCAGGAGCUCCGCCCUCCAAGCAGUUCGGCCGCUGGCCUGGACCUGGACGGGCACGGAGCCCUGGCGCCACCUGGUGUUCACAUGGAAAAUGCCGGCCACGGAGGGAAUCAAACGCAAGGGCCGGGGGUCGCUGGUGACAACCUGCAGUGAGGGGCUCCCCAGCCUCUGCACACCGGCCUGCUUCAAGGCUGGAUACCCCUUGAGUUGUGGACGGAAUCCAGUGGUGAAGUGACACUAGGAGCACAGGGGAACCAAGACAAGCUGGCCACUUGCAGCCUCAGGUGUGCGUGAUGUGGGGUGCACAUGUGUCGGUUUCUCAGAGCUGCAGCCGCCGAUUCUGCAGGGUCUGCAGUCCCCAAGGAUGGGAACAUCUUCCCCGAGACCCC
Long non-coding RNA from Fukomys damarensis (Damara mole-rat), 1385 nucleotides. RefSeq lists it as uncharacterized. The record is from RefSeq and is a predicted model, not a curated record. Lineage: Eukaryota; Metazoa; Chordata; Mammalia; Rodentia; Bathyergidae. The transcript is spliced from 3 exons.